UACGGGGGGAGCAAGCGUUGUUCGGAUUUCCUGGGCGUAAAGGGCGCGUAGGCGGCCAGCACAAGUCAGUUGUGAAAUCUCCGGGCUUAACUCGGAAAGGUCAACUGAUACUGUGCGGCUAGAGUGCAGAAGGGGCAACUGGAAUUCUCGGUGUAGCGGUGAAAUGCGUAGAUAUCGAGAGGAACACCUGCGGCGAAGGCGGGUUGCUGGGCUGACACUGACGCUGAUGCGCGAAAGCCAGGGGAGCGAACGGG
Molecule: ribosomal RNA, 254 nt
Filed under: uncultured bacterium
Lineage: Bacteria
Description: partial 16S ribosomal RNA
Rfam family: Bacterial small subunit ribosomal RNA
Source: RNAcentral